Molecule: ribosomal RNA, 1372 nt
Filed under: uncultured bacterium
Lineage: Bacteria
Description: bacterial SSU rRNA
Rfam family: Bacterial small subunit ribosomal RNA
Source: RNAcentral
GAUGAACGCUGGCGGCGUGCCUAAUACAUGCAAGUCGAGCGAACGGACGAGAAGCUUGCUUCUCUGAUGUUAGCGGCGGACGGGUGAGUAACACGUGGAUAACCUACCUAUAAGACUGGGAUAACUUCGGGAAACCGGAGCUAAUACCGGAUAAUAUUUUGAGCCGCAUGGUUCAAAAGUGAAAGACGGUCUUGCUGUCACUUAUAGAUGGAUCCGCGCUGCAUUAGCUAGUUGGUAAGGUAACGGCUUACCAAGGCAACGAUGCAUAGCCGACCUGAGAGGGUGAUCGGCCACACUGGAACUGAGACACGGUCCAGACUCCUACGGGAGGCAGCAGUAGGGAAUCUUCCGCAAUGGGCGAAAGCCUGACGGAGCAACGCCGCGUGAGUGAUGAAGGUCUUCGGAUCGUAAAACUCUGUUAUUAGGGAAGAACAUAUGUGUAAGUAACUGUGCACAUCUUGACGGUACCUAAUCAGAAAGCCACGGCUAACUACGUGCCAGCAGCCGCGGUAAUACGUAGGUGGCAAGCGUUAUCCGGAAUUAUUGGGCGUAAAGCGCGCGUAGGCGGUUUUUUAAGUCUGAUGUGAAAGCCCACGGCUCAACCGUGGAGGGUCAUUGGAAACUGGAAAACUUGAGUGCAGAAGAGGAAAGUGGAAUUCCAUGUGUAGCGGUGAAAUGCGCAGAGAUAUGGAGGAACACCAGUGGCGAAGGCGACUUUCUGGUCUGUAACUGACGCUGAUGUGCGGAAGCGUGGGGAUCAAACAGGAUUAGAUACCCUGGUAGUCCACGCCGUAAACGAUGAGUGCUAAGUGUUAGGGGGUUUCCGCCCCUUAGUGCUGCAGCUAACGCAUUAAGCACUCCGCCUGGGGAGUACGACCGCAAGGUUGAAACUCAAAGGAAUUGACGGGGACCCGCACAAGCGGUGGAGCAUGUGGUUUAAUUCGAAGCAACGCGAAGAACCUUACCAAAUCUUGACAUCCUUUGACAACUCUAGAGAUAGAGCCUUCCCCUUCGGGGGACAAAGUGACAGGUGGUGCAUGGUUGUCGUCAGCUCGUGUCGUGAGAUGUUGGGUUAAGUCCCGCAACGAGCGCAACCCUUAAGCUUAGUUGCCAUCAUUAAGUUGGGCACUCUAAGUUGACUGCCGGUGACAAACCGGAGGAAGGUGGGGAUGACGUCAAAUCAUCAUGCCCCUUAUGAUUUGGGCUACACACGUGCUACAAUGGACAAUACAAAGGGCAGCGAAACCGCGAGGUCAAGCAAAUCCCAUAAAGUUGUUCUCAGUUCGGAUUGUAGUCUGCAACUCGACUACAUGAAGCUGGAAUCGCUAGUAAUCGUAGAUCAGCAUGCUACGGUGAAUACGUUCCCGGGUCU